AGAGUUUGAUCCUGGCUCAGAUUGAACGCUGGCGGCAUGCUUUACACAUGCAAGUCGAACGGCAGCACGGGGGCAACCCUGGUGGCGAGUGGCGAACGGGUGAGUAAUACAUCGGAACGUAUCCUUGAGUGGGGGAUAACGCAGCGAAAGUUGUGCUAAUACCGCAUGAGCUCUGAGGAGGAAAGUGGGGGACCGUAAGGCCUCACGCUGAAGGGGCGGCCGAUGUCCGAUUAGCUAGUUGGUGAGGUAAAGGCUCACCAAGGCUUCGAUCGGUAGCUGGUCUGAGAGGAUGAUCAGCCACACUGGGACUGAGACACGGCCCAGACUCCUACGGGAGGCAGCAGUGGGGAAUUUUGGACAAUGGGGGCAACCCUGAUCCAGCCAUGCCGCGUGAGUGAAGAAGGCCUUCUGGUUGUAAAGCUCUUUCGUGAGGGAAGAAACGGCCAUAGUGAAUAGCUGUGGUUACUGACGGUACCUCAAGAAGAAGCACCGGCUAACUACGUGCCAGCCGCCGCGGU
Molecule: ribosomal RNA, 518 nt
Filed under: uncultured bacterium
Lineage: Bacteria
Description: bacterial SSU rRNA
Rfam family: Bacterial small subunit ribosomal RNA
Source: RNAcentral